GCCGAAAUAGCUCAGUUGGGAGAGCGUUAGACCGAAGAUUUAAAGGUCCCUGGUUCGAUCCCGGGUUUCGGCA
Molecule: transfer RNA, 73 nt
Filed under: Haemaphysalis longicornis (longhorned tick)
Lineage: Eukaryota; Metazoa; Arthropoda; Arachnida; Ixodida; Ixodidae
Rfam family: tRNA
About the family: Transfer RNA (tRNA) molecules are approximately 80 nucleotides in length.
Source: Rfam by way of RNAcentral